UGAACUCACAGUUUAACAUAAUGGACAUAUCGGCCAGACUGCUGAUUAUCUUACUGUUCUGGGGAGGUGUUGAUGGUCAGACUUUGACAGAAUCUGAACCAGUCAUUAAAAGGCCUGGAGAGUCCCACACACUGACCUGCACAGCCUCUGGAUUCACAUUUAGCAGCUAUGAUAUGCACUGGGUCAGACAGACUCCUGGGAAAGGAUUGGAAUGGGUUGCCGAAGUUAGUACUGGUAGUAGCAAAUACUACUCUCAGUCAGUCCAAGGCCGGUUUACCAUCUCCAGAGACAACAGCAAACAGCAGGUGUAUCUGGAGAUGAACAGCCUGAAGACUGAAGACUCUGCUGUUUAUUACUGUGCUCGAGAGUCACAGUGACACAAGAGGAAGAAACACUGUACAGAAACUCAGAAAACCAAAAAUGAAUAAAUUUUAUUCUGCAAUUCACAUUUACAAACUGAAGUUCCUUGAACAGCUGUACAAAAUCCAGUCGUCUUUAUCCUGUCUACAUGUAUCUAAUAUGUUUGGUAUAGUAUGGUUCAAGAAAAUUAUAUAUUUUAGUUUUUCUCAUUUUCAGAAUUCUUGUACAGAAUUCUGAAAAGAAUAAAUUCUUUGUCCCAAUUUUUAGUCAGUGUAAAAAUGACAUUUUUAAGAACAUUCAACAUUGUAGACUGUUGUUGCAUGAGUUCUCUACUGAGGGAUGUAUUUUUGAUACAUCC
Molecule: non-coding RNA, 718 nt
Organism: Oreochromis niloticus (Nile tilapia)
Lineage: Eukaryota; Metazoa; Chordata; Actinopteri; Cichliformes; Cichlidae
Source: the annotation of a RefSeq genome assembly